RNAcentral lists this ribosomal RNA (253 nucleotides) under uncultured bacterium. RNAcentral describes it as "partial 16S ribosomal RNA". It matches the Rfam family "Bacterial small subunit ribosomal RNA", at positions 524 to 776 of the family's 1533-position model. The record is from RNAcentral.
UACGGGGGGAGCAAGCGUUGUUCGGAUUUACUGGGCGUAAAGGGCGCGUAGGCGGCGUGACAAGUCACUUGUGAAAUCUCCGGGCUUAACUCGGAGCGGUCAAGUGAUACUGUCGUGCUAGAGUGCGGAAGGGGCUACUGGAAUUUUCGGUGUAGCGGUGAAAUGCGUAGAUAUCGAGAGGAACACCUGCGGCGAAGGCGGGUAGCUGGGCCGACACUGACGCUGAUGCGCGAAAGCCAGGGGAGCGAACGGG